GUCGAUGGGGUCCAAGGGAAGAAGGCCCUUAGGACCCACAAAGAAUUUUUUGCAGCUUUGCUAGAAUGUAUUUCGCCUGGCGAUGAGCCCCCCGAAAACACUGUGCGGAAGGCAAUGCAAAGGAUGAAGAAAAGGGUUUUUAAGAAGAGGUGUCUUGCCAAAAACCAGGAGUAGGCUAAGCAUCAUAUAAUUAAAAAUUAUUCGUUAUAUUGAAA
Drosophila miranda is the source of this 215-nucleotide long non-coding RNA. RefSeq lists it as uncharacterized. The record is from RefSeq and is a predicted model, not a curated record. NCBI's taxonomy places the organism in Eukaryota, Metazoa, Arthropoda, Insecta, Diptera, Drosophilidae. The transcript is spliced from 2 exons.